Molecule: transfer RNA, 95 nt
Filed under: Tulasnella calospora MUT 4182
Lineage: Eukaryota; Fungi; Basidiomycota; Agaricomycetes; Cantharellales; Tulasnellaceae
Description: tRNA-Gly
Rfam family: tRNA
About the family: Transfer RNA (tRNA) molecules are approximately 80 nucleotides in length.
Source: RNAcentral
GCUUUGAUGGGGUAGUGGUAACCUGGAUCGUUGCCAGUGAACAACAGUUCUCUGCCACCUUCGAUCCGCCGGGGGUUCGAUUCCCUCUCAAAGCA